GGUUCGAUGGCGUAGUUGGUUAUCGCAUCUGUCUAACAUAAGAGUUUAAGACUCCAUCAUGAUCAGUUACACAGAAGGUCCCCGGUUCGAGCCCGGGUCGAAUCA
This is a non-coding RNA of Dendrothele bispora CBS 962.96, 105 nucleotides long. Lineage: Eukaryota; Fungi; Basidiomycota; Agaricomycetes; Agaricales. The record is from the annotation of a GenBank genome assembly.